This 324-nucleotide ribosomal RNA is filed under the name uncultured eukaryote. RNAcentral's name for it is "partial 18S ribosomal RNA". It matches the Rfam family "Eukaryotic small subunit ribosomal RNA", at positions 1470 to 1796 of the family's 1831-position model. The record is from RNAcentral.
CCCUUAGAUGUCCUGGGCUGCACGCGUGCUACAAUGAUACGUGCAACGAGUUAAUCCUGCUCUGAAAGGAGUGGGUAAUCUUAUGAAUGCGUAUCGUGCUUGGGAUUGACCAUUGUAAUUAUUGGUCAUGAACGAGGAAUUCCUAGUAAGCACAAGUCAUCAGCUUGUGCUGAUUACGUCCCUGCCCUUUGUACACACCGCCCGUCGCUCCUACCGAUUGAGUGUUCCGGUGAAUUAUUCGGACUGCAGCAAUGUUCGGAUCCCGAACGUUGCAGCGGAAAGUUUAGUGAACCUUAUCACUUAGAGGAAGGAGAAGUCGUAACA